GCCAGGCUUGGUGGUGAGUGCCUAUAGUCCCAGCUACUCGAGAGGCUGAGGUAGGAGGAUUGCUUGAGCCCAGGAGUUCUGGGCUGUAGUGCCCUAUGCUGAUUCGGUGUCCGCACUAAGUUCAGCAUCAAUAUGGUGACCUUCUGGGAGCAGGGGACCACCAGGUUGCCUAAGGAGGGGUGAACCGGCCCAGGUCGGAAACAGAGCAGGUCAAAACUCCAGUGCUGAUCAGUAGUGGGAUCGAGCCCGUGAAUAGCCACUGAGCUCCAGCCUGGGCGACAUAGCGAAACCCUGUCUCU
Molecule: signal recognition particle RNA, 299 nt
Filed under: Cebus imitator (Panamanian white-faced capuchin)
Lineage: Eukaryota; Metazoa; Chordata; Mammalia; Primates; Cebidae
Description: Metazoan signal recognition particle RNA (ENSCCAG00000007082.1)
Rfam family: Metazoan signal recognition particle RNA
About the family: The signal recognition particle (SRP) is a universally conserved ribonucleoprotein. It is involved in the co-translational targeting of proteins to membranes. The eukaryotic SRP consists of a 300-nucleotide 7S RNA and six proteins: SRPs 72, 68, 54, 19, 14, and 9.
Source: RNAcentral